GACGAACGCUGGCGGCGUGCUUAACACAUGCAAGUCGAACGGAAAGGCCCUGCUUUUGUGGGGUGCUCGAGUGGCGAACGGGUGAGUAACACGUGAGUAACCUGCCCUUGACUUUGGGAUAACUUCAGGAAACUGGGGCUAAUACCGGAUAGGAGCUCCUGCUGCAUGGUGGGGGUUGGAAAGUUUCGGCGGUUGGGGAUGGACUCGCGGCUUAUCAGCUUGUUGGUGGGGUAGUGGCUUACCAAGGCUUCGACGGGUAGCCGGCCUGAGAGGGUGACCGGCCACAUUGGGACUGAGAUACGGCCCAGACUCCUACGGGAGGCAGCAGUGGGGAAUAUUGCACAAUGGGCGGAAGCCUGAUGCAGCAACGCCGCGUGCGGGAUGACGGCCUUCGGGUUGUAAACCGCCUUCGCCUGUGACGAAGCGUGAGUGACGGUAAUGGGUAAAGAAGCACCGGCUAACUACGUG
Molecule: ribosomal RNA, 468 nt
Filed under: uncultured bacterium
Lineage: Bacteria
Description: partial 16S ribosomal RNA
Rfam family: Bacterial small subunit ribosomal RNA
Source: RNAcentral